This 1131-nucleotide long non-coding RNA is filed under the name Equus caballus (horse). Its description in RNAcentral is "lncRNA (ENSECAG00000028173.3)". Lineage: Eukaryota; Metazoa; Chordata; Mammalia; Perissodactyla; Equidae. The record is from RNAcentral.
UGGGAGUUCUGUGCAGCCUGGGUCGAGAGCAUCCCUCAGAACAGAAUUUGUUUUUGCUCCCGCCAAGCAUCCAUUUGAUAUGUGGAGGCUGGGGAUGAGUGCUAGGAUCAGGAUGGAGAGGAUUAGGGCUAAUACGCCGCCUAGUUUGUUGGGAAUGGAGUGUAGGAUGGCGUAGGCAAACAGGAAGUACCAUUCUGGUUUAAUAUGAGGGGGAGUGCUGAGAGGGUUAGCUGGGGUGUAGUUGUCUGGGUCUCCUAGGAGCAAGAUCAGGAGGAGGAGUCCUAGGAUGUCUUUAAUUGUAUAAUAUGGGUGGAAUGGGAUUUUGUCCAUAUCGGAUGGGAUUCCUGAGGGGUUGUUAGAUCCUGUUUCGUGAAGAAAUAGUAAAUGUACGACUACCAGGGCUGUGAUGAUGAAGGGUAGGAUGAAGUGGAAAGCAAAAAAUCGGGUAAGGGUGGCUUUGUCUACUGAGAAUCCACCUCAGAUUCACUCGACGAGGGUAGUACCGAUGUAGGGAAUUGCUGAUAGGAGGUUCGUGAUGACUGUUGCUCCUCAAAAGGAUAUUUGGCCUCAUGGUAGGACAUAGCCCAUGAAUGCUGUAGCUAUAACUGUGAAAAGUAGGAUGAUUCCAAUGUUUCAUGUCUCUAGGAAUGUGUAAGAGCCGUAGUAGAGGCCGCGUCCUACGUGAAUGAAGAGGCAGAUAAAAAAUAUUGAUGCUCCGUUGGCAUGGAGGUAGCGAAUAAUUCAUCCGUAGUUAACGUCUCGGCAGAUGUGAGUGACGGAUGAGAAGGCAGUUGUCGUGUCUGAUGUGUAGUGUAUGGCUAGGAAUAGGCCUGUUAAGAUUUGGAGGAUUAGGCAGAUUCCUAGGAGGGAGCCGAAGUUUCAUCAGGUUCUACCAACCUGAAACUUCUUUAUGUUGAUUACUCAUUUAGAAGUUUUCAGGACUACAAAGGAAGUGGAAGUUUUAACUACACACUAGCAUGCGGGCAUAUCUUUAGGGGAGGCAUUUUUUUUCCCCGUCGAGAGCUCAAGCCAAAAUAGCUAAGUUGUCUUAUCUUUCUUUGCAGUGUGGAGAACAUUUUCUUUCCCUUUCCACCCUUUCAUUAGGUUAAGUGGCCAUUUGAGAUUCCCAGC